RNAcentral lists this transfer RNA (60 nucleotides) under Bostrichoidea sp. 1 KM-2017. RNAcentral describes it as "tRNA-Arg". The record is from RNAcentral. Lineage: Eukaryota; Metazoa; Arthropoda; Insecta; Coleoptera.
AAGUAAGAAGCAAAAAUUGCAAUCAAUUUCGACUUGAUCGUAGGCUAAAGCCCUUAUUUA